Molecule: ribosomal RNA, 492 nt
Filed under: uncultured bacterium
Lineage: Bacteria
Description: partial 16S ribosomal RNA
Rfam family: Bacterial small subunit ribosomal RNA
Source: RNAcentral
AGUGAACGCUGGCGGUAGGCCUAACACAUGCAAGUCGAACGGCAGCACAGUAAGAGCUUGCUCUUACGGGUGGCGAGUGGCGGACGGGUGAGGAAUACAUCGGAAUCUACUUUUUCGUGGGGGAUAACGUAGGGAAACUUACGCUAAUACCGCAUACGACCUACGGGUGAAAGCAGGGGAUCUUCGGACCUUGCGCGAUUGAAUGAGCCGAUGUCGGAUUAGCUAGUUGGCGGGGUAAAGGCCCACCAAGGCGACGAUCCGUAGCUGGUCUGAGAGGAUGAUCAGCCGCACUGGAACUGAGACAGGGUCCAGACUCCUACGGGAGGCAGCAGUGGGGAAUAUUGGACAAUGGGCGCAAGCCUGAUCCAGCCAUACCGCGUGGGUGAAGAAGGCCUUCGGGUUGUAAAGCCCUUUUGUUGGGAAAGAAAAGCAGCAGGUUAAUACCCCGCUGUUCUGACGGUACCCAAAGAAUAAGCACCGGCUAACUUCGUG